UACGGGGGGGGCAAGCGUUGUUCGGAAUUACUGGGCGUAAAGGGCCAGUAGGCGGCCAACUAAGUCGGACGUGAAAUCCCCAGGCUCAACCUGGGAACUGCGUCCGAUACUGGAUGGCUUGAAUUCGGGAGAGGGAUGCAGAAUUCCAGGUGUAGCGGUGAAAUGCGUAGAUAUCUGGAGGAACACCGGUGGCGAAGGCGGUUCUCUGGGCCUUACCUGACACUGAGGAGCGAAAGCGUGGGGAGCGAACAGG
Molecule: ribosomal RNA, 253 nt
Filed under: uncultured bacterium
Lineage: Bacteria
Description: partial 16S ribosomal RNA
Rfam family: Bacterial small subunit ribosomal RNA
Source: RNAcentral